This 279-nucleotide ribosomal RNA is filed under the name uncultured bacterium. Its description in RNAcentral is "partial 16S ribosomal RNA". It matches the Rfam family "Bacterial small subunit ribosomal RNA", at positions 506 to 784 of the family's 1533-position model. The record is from RNAcentral.
UGCCAGCAGCCGCGGUAAUACGAAAGGGGCUAGCGUUGUUCGGAAUUACUGGGCGUAAAGCGCACGUAGGCGGCAAUGUAAGUUGGGGGUGAAAUCCCGGGGCUCAACCCCGGAACUGCCUCCAAAACUACAUAGCUAGAGGAUGUGAGAGGAUAGUGGAAUUCCGAGUGUAGAGGUGAAAUUCGUAGAUAUUCGGAAGAACACCAGUGGCGAAGGCGACUGUCUGGCACAUUUCUGACGCUGAGGUGCGAAAGCGUGGGGAGCAAACAGGAUUAGAUA